ACAUUCGCCACGCUCCCGCCGGGGCGGGCUCACCGCGCGCCUCUGGGUGCCGAGCCUCCACAGGCCACAUAGCCGCCACCUGCUGCUGCAUCCCCACUGCGGGGACAGGGGCACUCAGUGCCUCCCUCCGUCCCCCCCGCCCCGCGAAGGCCUCCCAUCCUCCAGGGCCAGGCGGAGGCCACGUCUUUCCCGGGCCCCCUCCCCAACGCGGAGAGGGAAGCGGAGGGAGGAGCUUGGCCCGCAGCCGCCGGCCCUCCCCGCACUGGAGCUCCCCCUCCCCUCCCUCCCCGCCCCUCGGCUGCCGCAGCCCGGCUCGCAGCGCGCGUCAGCGGGGGCUCCCCGGAGCGAGUCGCUAGGUAACGGGGCUGGCUCCGCAGACGCGGGGCCGGGGAAGCCCGCGCGCGUCAUCAGCAGCGGCGCCGCGGGGCGGGGGGCGCAGAGACCCUCCCCAAUCCCGGCCUGCCACCACCUGGCUCGCGCGCAGCCCCGGCCCAGAAUGCCUUAACCUGCGCCGAUUGCUGCCGCCGAGGUGCCCCUCCCCUGUAGGGACCCCGACGCCGCCAGCCCCUUCCUCCUUUCCCGCAGGUGCGCACUGCUGUGCUUGCGGCCGGGUGGGCGCCCCGCCGCUGCGGUCGCGGUCGCCGCUGGUCCUCCCGCCGAGCCCCGGCGCGGGGCAUGAGGAGCCCCCGGGUGCCGCCCAGAGACCAGCAGGCUGCGCGCACACCUAGCCAGCGGCAGACGGGGACAUGAGCAGCGCGCACGGGGUCCCGCGCCCGGCGGCCAGCCCUAUCCGGCGGCGGCCAGCGGGUCAACGCUGCCCGGGAGAAUGAGGCAGGAGCCGGCGGCAGCCUCCUUUUUUUCCUUCUCCUCGCCUUCCUGCGGCUCCGGCGCUCCGGGUCCGGGCCGGGCUGCGGCUCUGCUGCGUGCCCCGCGCGCCCCUCAACCGCCUCCGGAUGCGCUUCUCGGUUAGCCUGGCAAGGAAGAUAAAGACAUUUGCAACCAAGAUGGUAAUCACUAGUGAAAAUGAUGAAGACAGAGGAGGUCAAGAAAAAGAAAGUAAAGAGGAGAGUGUCUUGGCAAUGCUGGGGAUUAUCGGGACCAUUCUGAACCUGAUUGUGAUCAUAUUUGUCUACAUAUACACCACCCUGUGAAUGGCCCAGAGCGUCCUCAGAGGCCUCAGAAUGGCCAAAGACGGAAGUCCUGCGUGUCGGCGCAUCACUGACCAGACCCUGCGAGAACAAGCAGGCUUGACCCGCACAUACCACCCAAUCAAAUGCACCUUCAAACUUUACAAAAGGUCACACAAAUAGACCGAUCCUGCUGCAGGGAGCAGACACUAAAGCACAAUGAUUCCAACAAAACUCAUUCACAGCACUAGGAACUCAACGUCUUUGGCAGGGGGCCCAGAAGAAUGCUUGGAAGACCAGCCUCUGACACCAUCAGUGAGCGGAUGGGUGCAGAAAUUCAUUAUUCCAGAUCGCUGACAGAUAUCACAUAUUUGAAAAGAUGAAUAGGGCGGACAUGGCUCAGAUGUGUGUCUCCCAGGACAAGUGUUUCAUCUUCACUUGACGAGCUAUUUAGUGGAAAAACCACAGGCGCAGCCCUUUGACAGGCAUCCCAUUCAUCAAAAGUGUCUAACUAUUUGAUACUGGGGAGAUAACUUAUUUUUCUUUUUUCAUUGGCUUGACAUGUGUAUCUGUUCAUGUCAAGGUUUAUAAAUAUAUAUUUUUAAUAAAUGUGCUCUAUUUUUUAGCAUGAACCAAAUACUUGGAGAGGCACUCCCAGAUCCAUAGAGCUUUCCUUAGUUUUAUCUGCUUUGUCCCCUCCUCCCCCAACUACAGAUGUUCUGUUGUGGAGCCAUUCUAGUCCUUUUGUCUCAUCUUGAGUCUUUUACCUUGCGCUUUUGUUCUCUCUCUCUCCUCUCUCUCUGCCUCUUUGGUCUGAAGGACAUUUUCCCAUACUGUCAGCCAUGGUUUUGGGUGCAUGUUUUAAGAUUGUCCAUUGAGUGGCUUUUUGUUGUUAUCUCGGAGAUAUAAAAUGAUUGUGGGCAUGCAGACCUUAGAUGCACCCUAUCUUUACUGAGAAUUAUGCAUGAAUAAGGGCUGAGUGAUAGAUCAGCUUAAAAUUAAAAGGACUACCUUUGAGGAAGAAGAGCGUGGCUAUAUUUGCAGAUGAACUUUUGAACAGAAUAUUCAGCUUCUUACCGGCAGCGUUAUUGUUUCAUUCUUGUGACCAUUCGUUUAUCAGAUUUUGAUUUUAGCGGUCAUGUACCGCGAGAGUUGGGAAGAACAAGGGGGAAAGCUCGGGAUUAGGUGCAUUACUCCUUCCUUUGCAAGAUACCUGGGAUCCUCCUCAAAAGCGGGUGGGGUAUAAAUGACACAAGAACUCCCCCAGGAGAUCUCAUGGUGAUUCAGGCUGUGAGGACAGCCCUGUGACAGGUGACUUUUCAGGGACAUGAGGAGGGGAUUUAAUGAUUGCCCUAAAGGACUUCUGUAUUUUUAAAGCCCCUGGUUUACACCCACAUGAAGCUAUUUCCUCUCUGGCAGGGAUGGUUGCAUAAAAACAAAUUAGCUCCCUUCUGGCUCCCUGAAAUGGGCCCUUGCCUGGCUACAGUGGCAUGGCCUUAAAGAGAGGGUUAGUAUUCCUUCUGCCAUUGCCAGCUGUAUUAGUCUGUUUUCACACUGCUGAAAAAGACAUCCCCAAGACUGGGCAAUUUACAAAGAAAGAGGUUUAUUGGACUUACAGUUCCACGUGGCUGAGGAGGCCUCACAAUUACGGUGGAAGGUGAAAGGCACGUCUCACAUGGUGGCAGACAAGAGAAGUGAACAUGUGCAAGGAGACUCCCAUUUUUAAAACAGAUCUCGUGAGACUUUUUCACUAUCAUGCAAACAGCAUGGGAAACCUGCCCCCGUGAUUCAGUUACCUCCCACCGGGUCCCUCCCACAACACAUGGGUAUUCAAGAUGAGAUUUGGGUGGGGUUACAGCCAAACUCUAUCACCAGCCUUGCCCCUGGGCAGAAGCAGCAGCAGUCUGCCUGGCUGGAUUCAAAUGAUUCUGAGGCUUCUAUAGUCUAUGCCUGCAGAUCUCUCCCUCACCCAUGCUAUAGUGUCUGAAAUUCCACCAUUAGAGAGUCAUUUCUUGGGCUCUGUUAAAUGGACCAGGCUCUUUUAUAAAGAAAAUGCCCCUGAGCAGCUGGCUCUGGCAUUGAUUUAUGAUAUCUUCUCUUCCCUGCCAGAAGGAAGGAAGCUAAGGUGCAUGUAGGGCGUACUGUGUGCCCAGGCACUGUGCCAGAUGCUUUGGAUACUUGGAGUCAUUGAAUUCUUGUAGUAACCCUGUGAGAGAGGGAGUCUUUUCUCCACAUUGUAGAAGAAGGAAAAAGGGCUCAGAGAGGUCAAGAAAUGUCCCUGAGAUCACAUGGCUUCUAGUGGAGUCAAGAUCCAAACCCAAUGUGUCUGAUUCCUUAGCCCUUGGGGGUCCGGAGGCUGCUGAACAAGAAAGGAGGUGGAGAGGAGAGAAAGCUGCAGGCAUACCACCGCACACCCUUCUCCCUCCCCUGUAAAAACAACCCUGGGAACUCCCUGGACACUAGCAGAAUAUCAUACACUAAGGAUAAGGGAUGAGAGGAGGCUGGUUAGAAAUAAAGCAGUGUCAGGGGGAAGGAGCUACUCAGUAGGCUCUGUGUGAUUCUAGAAAGACUGUAUGAAAAUUCUGAACAGUGAACAGAAUAAACAAUAAAGGUGCAAUGGAAAAAAAUACUCGAUGUCUUUUCUUUCAACAUUGUGGGAUAUAAAACAUUUCAAUGUCAGUCCUUUGCCUAUACAUAGUGUUUAUUUAUUAAAAAAAAAAACUGAAUGUGAUGCUGUUAAACGGAGA
RNAcentral lists this long non-coding RNA (3874 nucleotides) under Homo sapiens (human). RNAcentral's name for it is "HSALNT0378914". The record is from RNAcentral. Lineage: Eukaryota; Metazoa; Chordata; Mammalia; Primates; Hominidae.